RNAcentral lists this ribosomal RNA (509 nucleotides) under Lygus pratensis. Its description in RNAcentral is "partial large subunit ribosomal RNA". It matches the Rfam family "Eukaryotic large subunit ribosomal RNA", at positions 680 to 1140 of the family's 3401-position model. Lineage: Eukaryota; Metazoa; Arthropoda; Insecta; Hemiptera; Miridae. The record is from RNAcentral.
GUGUGCGCGAGUCAUUGGGUGUCAAAACCUAAAGGCGUAAUGAAAGUGAAGGAAACUUUGUUUUUGAGGGAGGAUGGGUUAGGUACCUUUUUUAAAGGACCGGCCUCGCACUCCCGGGGCGUCUCUAUCUCAUUGCGAGAGGAGGCGCACCUAGAGCGUACACGCUGAUACCCGAAAGAUGGUGAACUAUGCCUGGCCAGGACGAAGCCAGGGGAAACCCUGGUGGAGGUCCGCAGCGAUUCUGACGUGCAAAUCGAUCGUCGGAGCUGGGUUUAGGGGCGAAAGACCAAUCGAACCAUCUAGUAGCUGGUUCCCUCUGAAGUUUCCCUCAGGAUAGCUUGCGCUCGGAAACAACGAGUCUCAUCCGGUAGAGCGAAUGAUUAGAGGCCUUGGGGUCGAAACGACCUCAACCUAUUCUCAAACUCCAAAUAGAUGAGAACCCCGGCUUUCUUGAACUCUGUUUAUGAAGCCGGGGGCUCGGAUCAGAGUGCCAAGUGGGCCAAUUUUGG